UGGUUCUGGCAUCGAUGAAGAACGCAGCGAAAUGCGAUAAGUAAUGCGAAUUGCAGAAUUCCAGUGAGUCAUCGAAUCUUUGAACGCACAUUGCGCCCUUUGGUAUUCCGAAGGGCAUGCCUGUUCGAGCGUCAUUAUCACCCCUCAAGCCCCCCUGGCUUGGUGUUGGACGGUUUGGUGGAGGCCCGUUUUACCGGGUCGCUGCCCCUCCCAAAGACAAUGACGGCGGCCUCGUUGGACCCCCGGUACACUGAGUUCUUCACGGGACACGUACUGGACACAAGGGUGCGCGGGGCACGGUCUGCCUCCCCUCUAGGGAGAAAUUUCUCAAGGUUGACCUCGGAUCAGGUAGGGAUACCCGCUGA
RNAcentral lists this unclassified non-coding RNA (365 nucleotides) under uncultured fungus. RNAcentral's name for it is "partial contains 5.8S ribosomal RNA and internal transcribed spacer 2". The stretch from base 1 to 134 matches the Rfam family "5.8S ribosomal RNA", at positions 22 to 154 of the family's 154-position model. Lineage: Eukaryota; Fungi. The record is from RNAcentral.